AACGAACGCUGGCGGCAGGCCUAACACAUGCAAGUCGAGCGCCCCUUUCGGGGGGAGCGGCGGACGGGUGAGUAACGCGUGGGAACGUGCCCUUUGGUUCGGAAUAGCCCUGGGAAACUGGGGGUAAUACCGGAUACGCCCCGGACUUGAUCCGGGGGAAAGAUUUAUUGCCGAAGGAUCGGCCCGCGUUGGAUUAGGUAGUUGGUGGGGUAAUGGCCUACCAAGCCUUCGAUCCAUAGCUGGUUUGAGAGGAUGAUCAGCCACACUGGGACUGAGACACGGCCCAGACUCCUACGGGAGGCAGCAGUGGGGAAUCUUAGACAAUGGGCGCAAGCCUGAUCUAGCCAUGCCGCGUGAGCGAAGAAGGCCUUAGGGUUGUAAAGCUCUUUCAGGGGGGAAGAUAAUGACGGUACCCCCGGAAGAAGCCCCGGCUAACUCCGUGCCAGCAGCCGCCGUAA
This 458-nucleotide ribosomal RNA is filed under the name uncultured bacterium. RNAcentral describes it as "partial 16S ribosomal RNA". It matches the Rfam family "Bacterial small subunit ribosomal RNA", at positions 29 to 523 of the family's 1533-position model. The record is from RNAcentral.